AAUAAUAUCACCAUUGUAGCAUGCAAGGACUCGCAAUAAUAAGAGAACCCAGCCACUGAAUUGAAGUAAUUUAUUCAAUUGGACCAAGAAAAGGGAAAAAAAUAAAAAUAAAUCCUUGCCGCAUAUAGUGUCAUUUUGAAAGCUCGUGUUUUUGGCAUGGAUCUAAAUUACAAUAUCUAUCUAAUAAAAUACAAAUAAUUUUGAAUUUUCCGCUCACUCAAU
Molecule: long non-coding RNA, 222 nt
Filed under: Panax ginseng (ginseng)
Lineage: Eukaryota; Viridiplantae; Streptophyta; Magnoliopsida; Apiales; Araliaceae
Description: long non-coding RNA (PGIN_LNC009113)
Source: RNAcentral